This 478-nucleotide ribosomal RNA is filed under the name uncultured bacterium. RNAcentral's name for it is "partial 16S ribosomal RNA". It matches the Rfam family "Bacterial small subunit ribosomal RNA", at positions 28 to 523 of the family's 1533-position model. The record is from RNAcentral.
GACGAACGCUGGCGGCGUGCUUAACACAUGCAAGUCGAACGGUAAGGCCCUUCGGGGUACACGAGUGGCGAACGGGUGAGUAACACGUGGGUGAUCUGCCCUGCACUUCGGGAUAAGCCUGGGAAACUGGGUCUAAUACCGGAUAGGACCCUGGGAUGCAUGUCCUGGGGUGGAAAGCUUUUGCGGUGUGGGAUGGGCCCGCGGCCUAUCAGCUUGUUGGUGGGGUGAUGGCCUACCAAGGCGACGACGGGUAGCCGGCCUGGGAGGGUGACCGGCCGCACUGGGACUGAGAUACGGCCCAGACUCCUACGGGAGGCAGCAGUGGGGAAUAUUGCACAAUGGGCGCAAGCCUGAUGCAGCGACGCCGCGUGAGGGAUGACGGCCUUCGGGUUGUAAACCUCUUUCAGCACCGACGAAGCGCAAGUGACGGUAGGUGCAGAAGAAGGACCGGCCAACUCCGUGCCAGCCGCCGCCGUAA